Long non-coding RNA from Macrobrachium nipponense, 492 nucleotides. RefSeq lists it as uncharacterized. The record is from RefSeq and is a predicted model, not a curated record. The transcript is spliced from 3 exons. Lineage: Eukaryota; Metazoa; Arthropoda; Malacostraca; Decapoda; Palaemonidae.
CGAAGCGUCUCGGUAAGACUCCGGCAACAGGUCCUCAUCCGGUUUCUGAUCCAGCUGGAAAUCGUUGUGAUUCCCAAAUCGACGAAGCCAGAAAGAAUUCGACAGAAUUUCCAGGUGUUCGACUUCAAGUUGAGUCCGGAAGACAUGUCCGCUCUAGACUCUCUGGACAAAGGCGAAAGUGGACGCAUAUUCAUCUUCGAGGAUGUGCUUAAAGGGAUAUCGAAACACCCGGAAUAUACUUUCCACAUCCCCGUGUGAAAGAAGAGGAACGCCAGAAGGAAGGAACAGUGAGAGCAAGGGGAGCAGUUCCAAAGGCAAAAUCCCUCCUCCUCUCCCCUACUACUGUUUUCGUUGCUCAGUUAUAAAAAGGAGGAAUAAAACAGGCAAGGGAGCCGUUUCAAGAGCAUAUCCCGCCUACUACUACUAUCAGUUGUGACGUAACUAAAUGUUCAAUGGUUCUUAAGGGUUUGAAAUAAAUGGUCGUGGGUUUAA